CAACCCUCAAGCCCUGCUUGGUGUUGGGGACCUACGCACCGCCGUAGGCCCCGAAAACUAGUGGCGGGCUCGCUAAAGUCCUGAGCGCAGUAGCACAUCUCGCUUAUGGUGUUUUAGUGGGUGCCGGCCGUUAAACCCCCAACUUUAAACA
Molecule: unclassified non-coding RNA, 151 nt
Filed under: uncultured Sordariomycetes
Lineage: Eukaryota; Fungi; Ascomycota; Sordariomycetes
Description: sequence contains ITS2
Source: RNAcentral